Molecule: long non-coding RNA, 605 nt
Filed under: Mytilus galloprovincialis (Mediterranean mussel)
Lineage: Eukaryota; Metazoa; Mollusca; Bivalvia; Mytilida; Mytilidae
Source: RNAcentral
CCAAUUUCCAUGAAACUUAAGUGAAUUGUUUACAUCUAUUGACGUAAGCUCCCUUUCGUUUUUUUUUAAUUUCAGAUUUUAAGUUUUGGAUUUAUAGGGCUUUAUUCAUAAAAAAGGGGGGAUUUUCAACACUUCGGACAAUAACUCAAAAAGGCUUUCACCAAUGUCCAUGAAACUUUGGUGAAUUGUUUAUAUCUAUUGUUGUAACAAAUAAUACUUAAUAAAAUCUGAUGAAAACAUAAAAUUUGUAAAAUCUUUAGUUCAAUUUAAAACAUUAAAUUUCUUGUAAAAAUAGGUUCCAUGAAUGUCAUACGUUUGUACUAUUAUUGAAUGGUUGCAAGGAUGAAAGCACAUUAGCAGUCCCUGAGAUACUAACUGUUCCCUGAGGCAUAUAUCAUUUUAUGAUAACAUUUUUACUAUCUAAGCUAUGGAUAAAAAUCAAAUACUGUUUUUGCAUAUAGGAUGUUUUACUCUUGUUAAAAUUGGCUGCAAUUGAAAUCACAAAUGAUACCUUAGCAUUGCAGCUUUUUUAUAGAGUUCAGUUUCGGUGGAAGGGUUGAGCGCAAUAAAAAAUGUUAUAAAACAUAACUAGUCUACAAUAGCAC